GUGGGGAAUAUUGGACAAUGGGGGGAACCCUGAUCCAGCCAUGCCGCGUGUGUGAAGAAGGCCUUUUGGUUGUAAAGCACUUUAAGCGAGGAGGAGGCUACCGAGAUUAAUACUCUUGGAUAGUGGACGUUACUCGCAGAAUAAGCACCGGCUAACUCUGUGCCAGCAGCCGCGGUAAUACAGAGGUUGCAAGCGUUAAUCGGAUUUCCUGGGCGUAAAGCGCGCGUAGGUGGCCAAUUAAGUCAAAUGUGAAAUCCCCGAGCUUAACUUGGGAAUUGCAUUCGAUACUGGUUGGCUAGAGUAUGGGAGAGGAUGGUAGAAUUCCAGGUGUAGCGGUGAAAUGCGUAGAGAUCUGGAGGAAUACCGAUGGCGAAGGCAGCCAUCUGGCCUAAUACUGACACUGAGGUGCGAAAGCAUGGGGAGCAAACAGGAUUAGAAACCCGAGUAGUCC
Molecule: ribosomal RNA, 451 nt
Filed under: uncultured bacterium
Lineage: Bacteria
Description: partial 16S ribosomal RNA
Rfam family: Bacterial small subunit ribosomal RNA
Source: RNAcentral